RNAcentral lists this long non-coding RNA (442 nucleotides) under Homo sapiens (human). Its description in RNAcentral is "novel transcript". Lineage: Eukaryota; Metazoa; Chordata; Mammalia; Primates; Hominidae. The record is from RNAcentral.
CUGCAACUCAGCCAACCAGCACAUCGGACAGUGGGAGGAGGAAUUCUUGGCUAAGAGUACUGAGAUUAUUUACCCCUCAAAACAACCCCCAAGGUGUCUACAACCAGUUCCACAAGUCUUGUACCAAUCCAUCCCUCCUCACUCAGGGUUUUUGCAUGUCUGACACCCAUGGCUCCACCUGGACUCAUCUGGAUCUGCCAACCCCAUUCCCGUGGCCCCACCCAGAAGUGAUUCAGCUUACAGGAGGACAGCUUCAGCUUCCCAUGAUUUUGUCUAUGCCCCAACCAAUCAAUAGCAAGCAUAGCCACAGCCACCCCUUUCCCAAACUGCCUUUGAGAAACCCCUAACCUAUGAACUUUGGACGAGAAUGAUUUGAGAAUUAACUCCAUCUCCCACCUGGCGUGGCUGGCCUUGUGUCUAUUAAACUCUUUCUCUACUAUAA